UUAAGCGACUAAGCGUACACGGUGGAUGCCCAGGCAGUCAGAGGCGAUGAAGGACGUGCUAAUCUGCGAUAAGCGUCGGUAAGGUGAUAUGAACCGUUAUAACCGGCGAUUUCCGAAUGGGGAAACCCAGUGUGUUUCGACACACUAUCAUUAACUGAAUCCAUAGGUUAAUGAGGCGAACCGGGGGAACUGAAACAUCUAAGUACCCCGAGGAAAAGAAAUCAACCGAGAUUCCCCCAGUAGCGGCGAGCGAACGGGGAGCAGCCCAGAGCCUGAAUCAGUGUGUGUGUUAGUGGAAGCGUCUGGAAAGGCGCGCGAUACAGGGUGACAGCCCCGUACACAAAAAUGCACAUGCUGUGAGCUCGAUGAGUAGGGCGGGACACGUGGUAUCCUGUCUGAAUAUGGGGGGACCAUCCUCCAAGGCUAAAUACUCCUGACUGACCGAUAGUGAACCAGUACCGUGAGGGAAAGGCGAAAAGAACCCCGGCGAGGGGAGUGAAAAAGAACCUGAAACCGUGUACGUACAAGCAGUGGGAGCACGCUUAGGCGUGUGACUGCGUACCUUUUGUAUAAUGGGUCAGCGACUUAUAUUCUGUAGCAAGGUUAACCGAAUAGGGGAGCCGAAGGGAAACCGAGUCUUAACUGGGCGUUAAGUUGCAGGGUAUAGACCCGAAACCCGGUGAUCUAGCCAUGGGCAGGUUGAAGGUUGGGUAACACUAACUGGAGGACCGAACCGACUAAUGUUGAAAAAUUAGCGGAUGACUUGUGGCUGGGGGUGAAAGGCCAAUCAAACCGGGAGAUAGCUGGUUCUCCCCGAAAGCUAUUUAGGUAGCGCCUCGUGAAUUCAUCUCCGGGGGUAGAGCACUGUUUCGGCAAGGGGGUCAUCCCGACUUACCAACCCGAUGCAAACUGCGAAUACCGGAGAAUGUUAUCACGGGAGACACACGGCGGGUGCUAACGUCCGUCGUGAAGAGGGAAACAACCCAGACCGCCAGCUAAGGUCCCAAAGUCAUGGUUAAGUGGGAAACGAUGUGGGAAGGCCCAGACAGCCAGGAUGUUGGCUUAGAAGCAGCCAUCAUUUAAAGAAAGCGUAAUAGCUCACUGGUCGAGUCGGCCUGCGCGGAAGAUGUAACGGGGCUAAACCAUGCACCGAAGCUGCGGCAGCGACGCUUAUGCGUUGUUGGGUAGGGGAGCGUUCUGUAAGCCUGUGAAGGUGUGCUGUGAGGCAUGCUGGAGGUAUCAGAAGUGCGAAUGCUGACAUAAGUAACGAUAAAGCGGGUGAAAAGCCCGCUCGCCGGAAGACCAAGGGUUCCUGUCCAACGUUAAUCGGGGCAGGGUGAGUCGACCCCUAAGGCGAGGCCGAAAGGCGUAGUCGAUGGGAAACAGGUUAAUAUUCCUGUACUUGGUGUUACUGCGAAGGGGGGACGGAGAAGGCUAUGUUGGCCGGGCGACGGUUGUCCCGGUUUAAGCGUGUAGGCUGGUUUUCCAGGCAAAUCCGGAAAAUCAAGGCUGAGGCGUGAUGACGAGGCACUACGGUGCUGAAGCAACAAAUGCCCUGCUUCCAGGAAAAGCCUCUAAGCAUCAGGUAACAUCAAAUCGUACCCCAAACCGACACAGGUGGUCAGGUAGAGAAUACCAAGGCGCUUGAGAGAACUCGGGUGAAGGAACUAGGCAAAAUGGUGCCGUAACUUCGGGAGAAGGCACGCUGAUAUGUAGGUGAAGUCCCUCGCGGAUGGAGCUGAAAUCAGUCGAAGAUACCAGCUGGCUGCAACUGUUUAUUAAAAACACAGCACUGUGCAAACACGAAAGUGGACGUAUACGGUGUGACGCCUGCCCGGUGCCGGAAGGUUAAUUGAUGGGGUUAGCCGCAAGGCGAAGCUCUUGAUCGAAGCCCCGGUAAACGGCGGCCGUAACUAUAACGGUCCUAAGGUAGCGAAAUUCCUUGUCGGGUAAGUUCCGACCUGCACGAAUGGCGUAAUGAUGGCCAGGCUGUCUCCACCCGAGACUCAGUGAAAUUGAACUCGCUGUGAAGAUGCAGUGUACCCGCGGCAAGACGGAAAGACCCCGUGAACCUUUACUAUAGCUUGACACUGAACAUUGAGCCUUGAUGUGUAGGAUAGGUGGGAGACUUAGAAGUGUGGACGCCAGUCUGCAUGGAGCCGACCUUGAAAUACCACCCUUUAAUGUUUGAUGUUCUAACGUUGACCCGUAAUCCGGGUUGCGGACAGUGUCUGGUGGGUAGUUUGACUGGGGCGGUCUCCUCCUAAAGAGUAACGGAGGAGCACGAAGGUUGGCUAAUCCUGGUCGGACAUCAGGAGGUUAGUGCAAUGGCAUAAGCCAGCUUGACUGCGAGCGUGACGGCGCGAGCAGGUGCGAAAGCAGGUCAUAGUGAUCCGGUGGUUCUGAAUGGAAGGGCCAUCGCUCAACGGAUAAAAGGUACUCCGGGGAUAACAGGCUGAUACCGCCCAAGAGUUCAUAUCGACGGCGGUGUUUGGCACCUCGAUGUCGGCUCAUCACAUCCUGGGGCUGAAGUAGGUCCCAAGGGUAUGGCUGUUCGCCAUUUAAAGUGGUACGCGAGCUGGGUUUAGAACGUCGUGAGACAGUUCGGUCCCUAUCUGCCGUGGGCGCUGGAGAACUGAGGGGGGCUGCUCCUAGUACGAGAGGACCGGAGUGGACGCAUCACUGGUGUUCGGGUUGUCAUGCCAAUGGCACUGCCCGGUAGCUAAAUGCGGAAGAGAUAAGUGCUGAAAGCAUCUAAGCACGAAACUUGCCCCGAGAUGAGUUCUCCCUGACUCCUUGAGAGUCCUGAAGGAACGUUGAAGACGACGACGUUGAUAGGCCGGGUGUGUAAGCGCAGCGAUGCGUUGAGCUAACCGGUACUAAUGAACCGUGAGGCUUAACCU
This 2903-nucleotide ribosomal RNA is filed under the name Escherichia coli. Its description in RNAcentral is "bacterial LSU rRNA". It matches the Rfam family "Bacterial large subunit ribosomal RNA". The record is from RNAcentral. Lineage: Bacteria; Pseudomonadati; Pseudomonadota; Gammaproteobacteria; Enterobacterales; Enterobacteriaceae.